AGGGAUUGCCUCAGUAACGGCGAGUGAAGCGGCAACAGCUCAAAUUUGAAAUCUGGCCUUCGGGUCCGAAUUGUAAUUUGUAGAGGAAGCUUUUGGUGAGGUACCUUCCGAGUUCCUUGGAACAGGACGCCUUAGAGGGUGAGAGCCCCGUACGGUUGGAUGCUAAACCUUUGUAUAGCUCCUUCGACGAGUCGAGUAGUUUGGGAAUGCUGCUCUAAAUGGGAGGUAAAUUUCUUCUAAAGCUAAAUACCGGCCAGAGACCGAUAGCGCACAAGUAGAGUGAUCGAAAGAUGAAAAGCACUUUGAAAAGAGGGUUAAAUAGUACGUGAAAUUGUUGAAAGGGAAGGGUUUAUGACCAGACCUUUGCCUUGCGGAUCAUCCGGUGUUCUCACCGGUGCACUUCGCUUGGUUUAGGCCAGCAUCGAUUCUGGUAGGGGGAUAAAGGCUUUGGGAAUGUGACUCUUCGGAGUGUUAUAGCCCUUUGCGUAAUACCUUUACUGGGAUCGAGGACCGCGCUUUUGCAAGGAUGCUGGCAUAAUGGUCAUCAACCACCC
This 554-nucleotide ribosomal RNA is filed under the name uncultured fungus. RNAcentral describes it as "eukaryotic LSU rRNA". It matches the Rfam family "Eukaryotic large subunit ribosomal RNA", at positions 70 to 650 of the family's 3401-position model. Lineage: Eukaryota; Fungi. The record is from RNAcentral.